This 142-nucleotide unclassified non-coding RNA is filed under the name uncultured Podospora. Its description in RNAcentral is "sequence contains ITS1". Lineage: Eukaryota; Fungi; Ascomycota; Sordariomycetes; Sordariales; Lasiosphaeriaceae. The record is from RNAcentral.
AAGAGUUGCAAAACUCCCACAACCAUCGUGAACGUUACCCGUAACCGUUGCCUCGGCGGCGUCGGCCCUCCGGGGUCGCUCGCCGGCGGUACCCAAAACCAUGUUUUUGUAGGCCUCUCUGAGUAACUUAUCAAAUAAGUCA